CAAUAGCGUAUAUUAAAGUUGUUGCGGUAAAAAAGCUCGUAGUCGGAUUUCUACCGAAGAUAGCCGGUCGGGUCUUCGACCUUGUAUCUGGUUUUGUCUUUGGUAUCCUCAUAGGGAACGUUUCUGCGCUUUAUUGCGUGGUGCGGUAUCUAUGACUUUUACUUUGAGGAAAUUAGAGUGUUCACGGCAGGCAAACGCCUUGAAUAUAUUAGCAUGGAAUAAUAACAUAGGAUCUUCGUCCUAUUUUGUUGGUUUCUAGGGCUAAGAUAAUGAUUAAUAGGGAUAAUUGGGGGCAUCUGUAUCAACGCGUCAGAGGUGGAAUUCUUGGAUUGCGUUGCGACAAACUACUGCGAAAGCAUUUGCCAAGGAUGUUUUCAUUGA
RNAcentral lists this ribosomal RNA (381 nucleotides) under uncultured eukaryote. RNAcentral describes it as "partial 18S ribosomal RNA". It matches the Rfam family "Eukaryotic small subunit ribosomal RNA", at positions 592 to 976 of the family's 1831-position model. The record is from RNAcentral.